RNAcentral lists this microRNA precursor (67 nucleotides) under Schmidtea mediterranea. RNAcentral describes it as "Sme-Mir-7-P21_pre stem-loop". Lineage: Eukaryota; Metazoa; Platyhelminthes; Tricladida; Dugesiidae. The record is from RNAcentral.
UGGAAGACUGUCGAUUUCGUUGUCAGAGCAUUUUUAAAUGUAACAACGAUUUUGAUAAUCUUCCUGG